RNAcentral lists this ribosomal RNA (253 nucleotides) under uncultured bacterium. Its description in RNAcentral is "partial 16S ribosomal RNA". It matches the Rfam family "Bacterial small subunit ribosomal RNA", at positions 524 to 776 of the family's 1533-position model. The record is from RNAcentral.
UACGUAGGGUGCGAGCGUUGUCCGGAAUUACUGGGCGUAAAGAGCUCGUAGGUGGUUUGUCGCGUUGUUCGUGAAAACUCACAGCUCAACUGUGGGCGUGCGGGCGAUACGGGCAGACUGGAGUACUGCAGGGGAGACUGGAAUUCCUGGUGUAGCGGUGAAAUGCGCAGAUAUCAGGAGGAACACCGAUGGCGAAGGCAGGUCUCUGGGCAUUAACUGACGCUGAGGAGCGAAAGCAUGGGGAGCGAACAGG